RNAcentral lists this unclassified non-coding RNA (239 nucleotides) under Hevea brasiliensis (rubber tree). The record is from RNAcentral. Lineage: Eukaryota; Viridiplantae; Streptophyta; Magnoliopsida; Malpighiales; Euphorbiaceae.
AUCCUGUUCCUGAGCUCCUCUAGGCUUCUAGGAUAAGGGAUUUGAAGAUGCCAAACCUGUGAUACCAGUACCAUACUCCUCAUUUGGAAUUGAUCAAGAUUCAAGGAUUAACUCUGCCUAGAACCAGACUUGUCUGCAGUUUUUGGGUCUGGUGUAAAAUAACAUCACCAAGCCAUUUUGCGAUUGAUAGUGUAGACCCACUCUUAGCCUUACUUCAACAGCUUCAACCGUGAAACGCG